UAAGCGGAGAAAAAGAAAAUAACUAUGAUUCCUAGAGUAACGGCGAGUGAAAUAGGAAUAGCCCAUAGCCGAAUUCCGCUGUCCUCGACGGCAGCUGGAAGUUGUGGCGUUGGGAACUGUCUAUUGUAACCGAUCGGUCGGGCAACGCGACUCCUCUUGAUUGUGGUUUUGCCCAUAGCAGGUGAAAGGCCUAUAGUCGUAGCUUCGAGUCGAAGACCGGCGGUGAUGACAGUCCUUAGAGUCGGGUUGUUUGGGAUUGCAGCCCGAAGCAGGUGGUAAACUCCACCUAAGGCUAAAUACGAUCGCGAGUCCGAUAGCGCACAAGUACCGUGAGGGACAGUUGAAAAGAACUUUGAAGAGAGAGUUCAAAGUACGUCAAACCGUUCAGAGGUAAACGAAUGGAAAGUCGAAUUGAAGGCUGACAAUCAAGCCGUUGGCCUAGUCUGAGUUGGGCUGGUAGUACGUUAAAGGCUGCCAGUUUGCUCGCACGGCUGGCUAUGGUUGUAUUUGUUGGUCUUGGAUCGCCGCGACGGCAGUGUCUGACCGGUUUGGUGUCGGUUCCUCUGGUCCGCUAGGAUCCAUUUGGGUCUUUUAGUUGGCAAACGGAUCGGCAUCCCGCGUACAUAGCACAGCCGAUGUUAUAUGCGAUUUCAGUGCUUCAUCUAGCCAUCGUUCGUUGCGUAUCGGUAGUCUGAUGUUAAAUAACUUCACCUGCUGACAUCGUGGCGGCGGUGGUUGGUUUAAUGACGAAGCUAAAGUCGUGCAGCGGCGUUUGACUACGAAUUAUCCAUUCGACCCGUCUUGAAACACGGACCAAGGAGUCUAACCUGUGCGCGAGCCAUUGAGAUUACAAAACUCAAAGGCGUAGUGAAAGCAAUUUCGGUGAGAUCCGUCGUUUUUAUCGCUAAGAUUAACGGCGGCGCAUCAUCGUCACGCCACAACUCGGCUUCGGCUGUGGUGGCGCAGAUUGAGCGUACAAGUUGGGACCCGAAAGAUGGUGAACUAUGCGUGGCGAGGUCGAAGCCAGAGGAAACUCUGGUGGAGGACUGUAGCGGUUCUAACGUGCAAAUUGAUCGUCGCAGCUGCGUAUAGGGGCGAAAGACUAAUCGAACCAUCUAGUAGCUGGUUCCCUCCGAAGUUUCCCUCAGGAUAGCUGGCACUUCGAAAUAGCAGUUUUGUCCGGUAAAGCGAAUGACUAGAGGCCUUGGGGACAUAACGACCUCAACCUAUUCUCAAACUUUGAAUGGGCAAGAAGAGUGACUCACUUAAUUGGAGUUAUCUCAUUAAUGAAUGCUUGAGUGCCAAGUGGGCCAUUUUUGGUAAGCAGAACUGGCGCUGUGGGAUGAACCAAACGUUUAGCUAAGGUGCCAAAUGCUAACGCUCAUCCGAACCCAUUAAAGGUGUUGGUUGAUAGAGACAGCAGGACGGUGGCCAUGGAAGUCGGAACCCGCCAAGGAGUGUGUAACAACUCACCUGCCGAAUCAACCAGUCCUGAAAAUGGAUGGCGCUGAAGCGUUGUGAACCUAUGCUAGACCGGCAUGGCAAUGUUUUUUAACUAAAUCACGCUAUGCCGAGUAGGAGGGUCGCUGUGGUAUGCGUUGAAGCUUUGGGCGAGAGCCCGAGUCGAGCUUCCACAGGUGCAGAUCUUGGUGGUAGUAGCAAAUAUUCAAACGAGAGCUUUGAAGGCCGAAGUGGAGAAGGGUUCCAUGUGAACAGCAUUUGAACAUGGGUCAGUCGGUCCUAAGCGAUAGGCGAAUGCCGUUCUGAAAGCAGGCUUGAUUUCUUAAAAAAUUUCAAUAAUGCCUGAUUUCGGUCGAAAGGGAAUCGGGUUAAUAUUCCCGAACCUGGACGCGGAGAUGGAGUCGUAGGCAACUACGGCUCAGUGCGGUAACGCAAACGAUCUCGGAUUAGUCGGCGAGAGUCCUGGGAAGAGUUCUCUCUUCUUUGUAAGGGGCUGAAUCCCUGGAAUCGGCUUAGCCGGAGAUAGGGAUAUUGCAAGUUCCCGUAAAGCAUCACACUUCUUGUGAUGUCCGGUGCACGAUUGUCGACACUUAAAAGUCCGAGCUAGACGUUCAUAAUGUUCGCGCCAGGCCGUACCCAUAUCCGCAGCAGGUCUCCAAGGUGAACAGCCUCUGGCCAAUAGACUGAUGUAGUCAAGGGAAGUCGGCAAAUUGGAUCCGUAACUUCCGAACAAGGAUUGGCUCUAUGGGUUGGGCCGUGACGGGCUGUGCUAGGAAGCGAUGCCUGCUAUUGGUGCUUUGGGUCUGGCUGGCAACGGCUGGGCCUAGCGCCGAUUGGCGGCGCGUGGAUCUGGCAUGGCUUCUGUCAGCGAUCUUCGGGUCGUUGGCAUCGUUCGGCAACAAGCAACCGCCAUAGAACUGGUACGGACCAGGGGAAUCUGACUGGCUAAUUAAAACAUAGCAUUGCGAUGGCCGCAGCCUGGUGUUGACGCAAUGUGAUUUCUGCCCAGUGCUCUGAAUGUCAAAGUGAAGAAAUUCAACCAAGCUCGGGUAAACGGCGGGAGUAACUAUGACUCUCUUAAGGUAGCCAAAUGCCUCGUCAUCUAAUUAGUGACGCGCAUGAAUGGAUUAACGAGAUUCCCACUGUCCCUGGCUACCAUCUAGCGAAACCACAGCCAAGGGAACGGGCUUGGCCAAAUCAGCGGGGAAAGAAGACCCUGUUGAGCUUGACUCUAGUCUGACUUUGUGAAGAGACAUAGGAGGUGUAGCAUAGGUGGGAGCCGCAAGGCGAUCUUGAAAUACCACUACUUCUAUCGUUUCUUUACUUAUUCAAUUAAGCGGAAAUUGACCUUCACCGGUCUACCUUUUGGUUCGAAACA
This 2839-nucleotide ribosomal RNA is filed under the name Chaetonotus cf. gelidus MK-2019. RNAcentral's name for it is "partial large subunit ribosomal RNA". It matches the Rfam family "Eukaryotic large subunit ribosomal RNA", at positions 47 to 2573 of the family's 3401-position model. The record is from RNAcentral. Lineage: Eukaryota; Metazoa; Gastrotricha; Chaetonotida; Chaetonotidae.